Molecule: ribosomal RNA, 727 nt
Filed under: uncultured bacterium
Lineage: Bacteria
Description: bacterial SSU rRNA
Rfam family: Bacterial small subunit ribosomal RNA
Source: RNAcentral
GGUAGUCCACGCCGUAAACGAUGUCGACUUGGAGGUUGUGCCCUUGAGGCGUGGCUUCCGGAGCUAACGCGUUAAGUCGACCGCCUGGGGAGUACGGCCGCAAGGUUAAAACUCAAAUGAAUUGACGGGGGCCCGCACAAGCGGUGGAGCAUGCGGUUUAAUUCGAUGCAACGCGAAGAACCUUACCUACUCUUGACAUCCAGAGAACUUAGCAGAGAUGCUUUGGUGCCUUCGGGAACUCUGAGACAGGUGCUGCAUGGCUGUCGUCAGCUCGUGUUGUGAAAUGUUGGGUUAAGUCCCGCAACGAGCGCAACCCUUAUCCUUUGUUGCCAGCGGUUAGGCCGGGAACUCAAAGGAGACUGCCAGUGAUAAACUGGAGGAAGGUGGGGAUGACGUCAAGUCAUCAUGGCCCUUACGAGUAGGGCUACACACGUGCUACAAUGGCGCAUACAAAGAGAAGCGACCUCGCGAGAGCAAGCGGACCUCAUAAAGUGCGUCGUAGUCCGGAUUGGAGUCUGCAACUCGACUCCAUGAAGUCGGAAUCGCUAGUAAUCGUAGAUCAGAAUGCUACGGUGAAUACGUUCCCGGGCCUUGUACACACCGCCCGUCACACCAUGGGAGUGGGUUGCAAAAGAAGUAGGUAGCUUAACCUUCGGGAGGGCGCUUACCACUUUGUGAUUCAUGACUGGGGUGAAGUCGUAACAAGGUAACCGUAGGGGAACCCUGC